This 520-nucleotide ribosomal RNA is filed under the name uncultured Glomus. RNAcentral's name for it is "SSU rRNA". It matches the Rfam family "Eukaryotic small subunit ribosomal RNA", at positions 569 to 1090 of the family's 1831-position model. Lineage: Eukaryota; Fungi; Glomeromycota; Glomeromycetes; Glomerales; Glomeraceae. The record is from RNAcentral.
AGCAGCCGCGGUAAUUCCAGCUCCAAUAGCGUAUAUUAAAGUUGUUGCAGUUAAAAAGCUCGUAGUUGAAUUUCGGGACCAAUCUGCCGGUCGUGCCUCCGGUACGCACUGGUUUUAUUGGUUUCUCCCUUCUGACGAACCAUGAUGUCAUUAAUUUGGUGUCAUGGGGAAUCAGGACUGUUACUUUGAAAAAAUUAGAGUGUUUAUAGCAGGCUCACGCUUGAAUACAUUAGCAUGGAAUAAUGAAAUAGGACGUUUGACCCUAUUUUGUUGGUUUCUAGGAUCGACGUAAUGAUUAAUAGGGAUAGUUGGGGGCAUUAGUAUUCAAUUGUCAGAGGCGAAAUUCUUGGAUUUAUUGAAGACUAACUACUGCGAAAGCAUUUGCCAAGGAUGUUUUCAUUAAUCAAGAACGAAAGUUAGGGGAUCGAAGACGAUCAGAUACCGUCGUAGUCUUAACCAUAAACUAUGCCGACUAGGGAUCGGAUGAUGUUAAUUUUUUAAUGACUCAUUCGGCGCCUUA